RNAcentral lists this transfer RNA (71 nucleotides) under Cavia porcellus (domestic guinea pig). It matches the Rfam family "tRNA". From Rfam's summary of the family: Transfer RNA (tRNA) molecules are approximately 80 nucleotides in length. Their secondary structure includes four short double-helical elements and three loops (D, anti-codon, and T loops). Further hydrogen bonds mediate the characteristic L-shaped molecular structure. tRNAs have two regions of fundamental functional importance: the anti-codon, which is responsible for specific mRNA codon recognition, and the 3' end, to which the tRNAs corresponding amino acid is attached (by aminoacyl-tRNA synthetases). tRNAs cope with the degeneracy of the genetic code in two manners: having more than one tRNA (with a specific anti-codon) for a particular amino acid; and 'wobble' base-pairing, i.e. permitting non-standard base-pairing at the 3rd anti-codon position. Lineage: Eukaryota; Metazoa; Chordata; Mammalia; Rodentia; Caviidae. The record is from Rfam by way of RNAcentral.
AAGGAUGUAGUUCAGUGGUUGAGAGCUUGCCUUCCAUGCAUAGACUCUGGGUUAAAGUCCCAGCACUGUUA